AUUGAACGCUGGCGGCAGGCUUAACACAUGCAAGUCGAGCGGGGUGAUGGUGCUUGCACUAUCACUUAGCGGCGGACGGGUGAGUAAUGCUUAGGAAUCUGCCUAUUAGUGGGGGACAACAUCUCGAAAGGGAUGCUAAUACCGCAUACGUCCUACGGGAGAAAGCAGGGGAUCACUUGUGACCUUGCGCUAAUAGAUGAGCCUAAGUCGGAUUAGCUAGUUGGUGGGGUAAAGGCCUAACAAGGCGACGAUCUGUAGCGGGUCUGAGAGGAGGAUCCGCCACACUGGGACUGAGACACGGUCCAGACUCCUACCGGAGGGAGCAGUGAGGAAUAUUUGACAAUUGGGGGAAACCUGAACCAGCCAUGCCGCGUGGGUGAAGAAGGCCUUAUGGUUGUAAAGCACUUUAAGCGAGGAGGAGGCUCUUUUGGUUAAUACCCAAGAUGAGUGGACGUUACUCGCAGAAUAAGCACCGGCUAACUCUGUGCCAGCAGCCGCGGUAA
Molecule: ribosomal RNA, 503 nt
Filed under: uncultured bacterium
Lineage: Bacteria
Description: partial 16S ribosomal RNA
Rfam family: Bacterial small subunit ribosomal RNA
Source: RNAcentral